GUGGGAUCUUUUGUAAAACUAUAAAAACUGAAGGAUUGAUUCAUUUCAAAAUUCAGCGUUAACAGAUCUUGAGACUUGACCAAAUCUCUCUCACUUUUGAACAGGUACCUAAUGUGUGAACGAUAUGCAGACUAUGGAGGCAGUUUCUACAUCUCUAAAUGAGGGAAUUGUCUCUAUCUAUAACAUCUGCAAGUCCCUCAAGGAAGCACAUAUCAAUCCCAUCACUGACACAUGCUCCAAUUACAACCAAAUUAGGAAAAAUAUUACGCAUGCUGAGCAGUGCUUGAAAACAUCUGAGAAAAUGAUUAAAGGAAAACUGGGAGAUCUGGAUGAAAGCAUGUGCCAACUUAUAAGAGAGAAACAAAAUGUUGAGCAACAGAAAAAAGAGAAAAAUCUGGCUUUGGAUCAAUUAUACAUAAAGAAGUCAUCUGCUGUGGAAUCAUUGAAGUAUUCCAAAGAGGCUUUGGAACAGGCUGAAAGAAGUGUAGAAUCAGCAAAUUAUGCCAUAAGAGUACAUCAAGACAGGAUGAACACAUCCAAUGAUGUUGCAACUGCAGGGGCGAUACUGUGUGCAAUACCAAUUUUUGGAUGGAUUGCUGGUCCAAUCAUGAUUAGUGAGGGAGAGCAGGGAUUUGAAGAAGCUCUAAAUUCCUUGAGAGCUGCCGAAUGGGAAAAACAAAACGCUGAGUCUCAAGUAAGGAACUGCAAUGCAAAAGUCUCUCAUUAUGAUGGAAUAAUCUCUAGGACAUACUAUGAAAUUGAGCAGACCAAUGAGACUCUAAGAAGGAUUGAGUGGAAGGUUGAAGAGGUUCAAAAGAAUCUAGAGGACACAGAAAAUAUUCAAAACAUGGUCAGGAGAGCUGUGUACCUUCUGAAUGUUCUUAGUGGAAGAGUCGCUGUAAUGGAGAAGCAAACACAACGUUUUGUCCUCUGGCAGCCUGUGGUGGAGAUCAUGCAAGAUGUGAUAAAGGCAGUAUUAAAUAUUGCUGAGAAUCGGCUCCUCUAUAGAGAUGGUCCACCAAGCCUUAUAAAUACUUUGAGGGAGAACGUUACAGGACUACUGUCUUUACACAGCUCAUCCAGUUAUUCUGAAUAUGACAGUUAUUACUGAUCAUCUCCAUGUAACUAACAUAGCAAAGGCUUAUAGAAUAAAAAGAUUUAUUGUUGUUUUAGAAACCA
Cyprinus carpio (common carp) is the source of this 1179-nucleotide long non-coding RNA. The record is from Ensembl. Lineage: Eukaryota; Metazoa; Chordata; Actinopteri; Cypriniformes; Cyprinidae.